RNAcentral lists this ribosomal RNA (243 nucleotides) under uncultured bacterium. RNAcentral describes it as "partial 16S ribosomal RNA". It matches the Rfam family "Bacterial small subunit ribosomal RNA", at positions 92 to 334 of the family's 1533-position model. The record is from RNAcentral.
CGACCGGCAAACGGGUGCGGAACACGUACACAACCUUCCUUUAAGUGGGGGAUAGCCCAGAGAAAUUUGGAUUAAUACCCCGUAAGAUUAUAGAGUGGCAUCACUUAAUAAUUAAAGCUCCGGCGCUUGGAGAUGGGUGUGCGUCUGAUUAGGUAGUUGGUAGGGGUAACGGCCCACCAAGCCUACGAUCAGUAACUGGUGUGAGAGCACGACCAGUCACACGGGCACUGAGACACGGGCCCG